Molecule: ribosomal RNA, 528 nt
Filed under: uncultured bacterium
Lineage: Bacteria
Description: bacterial SSU rRNA
Rfam family: Bacterial small subunit ribosomal RNA
Source: RNAcentral
AAUAGAUACCCAGGUAGUCCACGCCGUAAACGAUGUCGACUUGGAGGUUGUUCCCUUGAGGAGUGGCUUCCGGAGCUAACGCGUUAAGUCGACCGCCUGGGGAGUACGGCCGCAAGGUUAAAACUCAAAUGAAUUGACGGGGGCCCGCACAAGCGGUGGAGCAUGUGGUUUAAUUCGAUGCAACGCGAAGAACCUUACCUACUCUUGACAUCCACGGAACUUAGCAGAGAUGCUUUGGUGCCUUCGGGGACCGUGAGACAGGUGCUGCAUGGCUGUCGUCAGCUCGUGUUGUGAAAUGUUGGGUUAAGUCCCGCAACGAGCGCAACCCUUAUCCUUUGUUGCCAGCGGUUUAGGCCGGGAACUCAAAGGAGACUGCCAGUGAUAAACUGGAGGAAGGUGGGGAUGACGUCAAGUCAUCAUGGCCCUUACGAGUAGGGCUACACACGUGCUACAAUGGCGCAUACAAAGAGAAGCGACCUCGCGAGAGCAAGCGGACCUCAUAAAGUGCGUCGUAGUCCGGAUUGGAGU